This 403-nucleotide ribosomal RNA is filed under the name uncultured bacterium. RNAcentral's name for it is "bacterial SSU rRNA". It matches the Rfam family "Bacterial small subunit ribosomal RNA", at positions 976 to 1380 of the family's 1533-position model. The record is from RNAcentral.
AGAUCUUGACAUCCUCGGAAGGUGAUGGAAAUAUCACCGUGCCCUCGGGAACCGAGUGACAGGUGGUGCAUGGCUGUCGACAGCUCGUGUCGUGAGAUGUUGGGUUAAGUCCCGCAACGAGCGCAACCCCUAUCGCUAGUUGCCAUCAUUAAGUUGGGGACUCUAGCGAGACUGCCUGCGAAGAGCAGGAGGAAGGUGGGGAUGACGUCAAGUCAUCAUGCCCCUUAUGAUCUGGGCUACACACGUGCUACAAUGGCUGGUACAGAGAGCCGCAAUGCAGCAAUGCUUAGCUAACCUCUAAAGCCAGUCCAAGUUCGGAUUGAAGUCUGCAACUCGACUUCAUGAAGUUGGAAUCGCUAGUAAUCGCGGAUCAGCAAUGCCGCGGUGAAUACGUUCUCGGGUC